Prunus avium (sweet cherry) is the source of this 2452-nucleotide RNA transcript. It is a transcript of the gene named phospholipid sterol acyl transferase 1, with no coding region annotated. The record is from RefSeq and is a predicted model, not a curated record. NCBI's taxonomy places the organism in Eukaryota, Viridiplantae, Streptophyta, Magnoliopsida, Rosales, Rosaceae.
UGCAUUUUCCUCUUCAAACCGCCAAACGGCAAUGCGAGCUCCGUCGUACAACCACCACGUCACGGCGUUUCUCCUCCUCCUCCUUCUUCUACCGCUCUUCCAUGGCCAUGGCGUCGGAGGAGACUGGAGCGGCGACUAUUCCAAGCUCUCGGGAAUCAUAAUCCCUGGCUUGGCCUCCACGCAGCUUCGCGCUUGGUCGAUCCUCGACUGCCCUUACUCUCCUCUCGAUUUCAACCCUCUCGAUUUGGUCUGGCUCGACACCACCAAACUUCUCUCUGCUGUGAACUGUUGGCUCAAAUGCAUGCUUCUGGACCCGUACAACCAAACAGAUCACCCUGAGUGCAAGUCACGGCCCGAUAGCGGUCUUUCGGCGAUCACGGAACUCGAUCCUGGCUACAUUACUGGUCCUCUCUCUUCGGUAUGGAAAGAAUGGGUGAAAUGGUGUAUCGAAUUCGGUAUUGAGGCGAAUGCUAUCAUUGCUGUGCCAUAUGACUGGAGGCUGUCACCGUCUAUGCUUGAGGAGCGAGACCUUUACUUUCACAAGCUAAAAUUGACAUUUGAAACGGCACUAAAACUUCGUGGAGGCCCCUCAGUAGUGUUUGCCCAUUCACUGGGUAAUCAUGUCUUCCGCUACUUUCUGGAGUGGUUGAAGCUGGAAAUUGCACCUAAACAUUAUAUCCAAUGGCUGGAUGAACACAUUCAUGCCUAUUUUGCCGUUGGAGCUCCACUUCUUGGUGCAAUCGAGACAGUCAAAGGAACACUUUCUGGAUUAACAUUUGGCCUUCCUAUUUCCGAGGGGACAGCUCGGUUGAUGGUCAAUUCAUUUGCAUCUUCGUUAUGGAUGAUGCCAUUUUCGAAGUACUGUAGGGCAGAGAAUACAUACUGGAAACAUUUCUGUGGGGGAAACAUGGACAAGAGGGGUCAUAACAUGUAUCACUGUGAUGAGCGGGAAUUUCAGUUAAACUUUUCUGGAUGGCCAACAAAUAUUAUCAAUAUUGAAAUUCCUUCAAUCCGUGGAUUUGGAGCCUAUCCAUCAGCUACUGAAAUAGCUGAGGCUAACUUGUCUAGCAUAGAAUGUGGACUCCCUACCCAAUUGUCUUUCUCUGCUCGCGAAAUAUCAGAUGGGACCUUUUUCAAAGCAAUAGAGGAUUAUGACCCGGACAUCAAGAGGAUUUUGCACCAAUUAAAGACGUUAUAUCAUGAUGAUCCAGUUUUAAAUCCACUUACACCAUGGGACAGGCCACCUCUGAAAAAUAUAUUUUGUAUCUAUGGAACAGACUUGAAAACUGAGGUUGGUUACUAUUUUGCACCGAGUGGCAAGCCCUACCCUGAUAAUUGGAUCAUUACCGAUGUGAUUUAUGAGAUUGAAGGUUCCUUGUUCUCAAGGUCAGGAAAUCUUGUUGAAGGAAAUCCAGGAGCUUCAAGCGGGGAUGAGACUGUACCGUACCAUUCUCUUUCUUGGUGCAAGAACUGGCUUGGACCAAAAGUCAACAUAACUAGGGCUCCUCAGUCAGAGCAUGAUGGUUCUGAUGUACAAGUGGAAUUGAAUGUGGAACAUCAUCAUGAAGAAGAUAUUUUGCCCAACAUGACAAGGUUGCCAAGGGUCAAGUACAUAACUUACUAUGAAGAUUCUGAAAGUAUACCAGGAAAAAGGACAGCAGUCUGGGAGAUAGAUAAAGCGAAUCAUAGGAACAUUGUUAGAUCCCCAGUUCUAAUGAGAGAGUUGUGGCUUCAAAUUUGGCAUGAUAUCCAUCCCGAUGCAACAUCAAAAUUUGUUACUAAAGCCAAGCGUGGACCUCUGAGGGAUGAGGACUGUUAUUGGGAUUAUGGAAAAGCUCGAUGUGCAUGGGCUGAAUACUGUGAAUACAGAUACCUUUUCGGAGAUGUUCAUUUAGGACAGAGCUGUAGGUUGAAGAAUUCUUCAGCAAAUCUUCUUUCGCAUUAUUUGUAGAUUAGGAGGUAUUCCUUUCUUCUCCAUCUCGUACUGAAAGCUUAAUACUACUGCACUUGUUGGGCUUCACCUUACAUAGCCUUGUGAUUUUGUGGAAACAAUGGGAUCACACAAGAAAGUGAUACUGAGACAUGUCCCUUGCCAAUAUUUGAGAUAGUUGGAGGCACAGACCAUUAACAUACAAGUGGUCUCACUUUUGUCUCCUGUAAAACUUUAGCAGUUAAGCAAUUCCCUUUUGUAUCAAGCAGAAUCGGGACAGCAUCUCGGAUCUUCAGAAUGCUUGAUGAUUUUAUUGAUGGUAGAAAUCUAACUUGGUGCGUCAGCCUUGUCGUCACUCGAUUUUGCCACUGGAAGACACGCUUCUAGCCCUGAUUAGCCUUCCCAAACUCUGUCAAGCUGUAGCUUAUUAUUUUCUUGUAGCUUUUCGACGCACCACCAAAGUAUUUCGCAUAUGCAUUGUUAACAUGGCCUGCUAUCAGAUUCUUGCCAAUAAGUGUAUUU